CAAUAGCGUAUAUUAAAGUUGUUGCGGUAAAAAAGCUCGUAGUUGGAUUUCUGUUGAGGACGACCGGUCCAUACCACGUAUGCGCAUCUGGCUCGGCCUCGGCAUCCUCUCGAAAUACGUUUCUGCGCUUGAUUGCGUGGAGCGGAGUUCGGGACUUUUACUUUGAGGAAAUUAGAGUGUUCACGGCAGGCUAUCGCCCGAAUACGUUAGCAUGGAAUAAUAAUAUAGGAUCUCGGUUCUAUUUUGUUGGUUUCUAGAAUUGGGAUAAUGAUUAAUAGGGACAAUUGGGGGCAUUCGUAUCAACACGUCAGAGGUGGAAUUCUUGGAUUGUGUUGCGACGAACUACUGCGAAAGCAUUUGCCAAGGAUGUUUUCAUUGAUCAAGAACGAAAGUAAGGGGAUCGAAGACGAUCAGAUACCGU
RNAcentral lists this ribosomal RNA (421 nucleotides) under uncultured eukaryote. RNAcentral describes it as "SSU rRNA". It matches the Rfam family "Eukaryotic small subunit ribosomal RNA", at positions 592 to 1018 of the family's 1831-position model. The record is from RNAcentral.